RNAcentral lists this ribosomal RNA (255 nucleotides) under uncultured bacterium. RNAcentral describes it as "partial 16S ribosomal RNA". It matches the Rfam family "Bacterial small subunit ribosomal RNA", at positions 524 to 777 of the family's 1533-position model. The record is from RNAcentral.
UACGUAGGUGGCAAGCGUUGUCCGGAAUUAUUGGGCGUAAAGCGCGCGCAGGCGGCCUCUUAAGUCUGAUGUGAAAGCCCCCCGGCUCAACCGGGGAGGGCCAUUGGAAACUGGGAGGCUUGAGUAUAGGAGAGAAGAGUGGAAUUCCACGUGUAGCGGUGAAAUGCGUAGAGAUGUGGAGGAACACCAGUGGCGAAGGCGACUCUUUGGCCUAUAACUGACGCUGAGGCGCGAAAGCGUGGGGAGCAAACAGGA